CUCACAGGGACUGAGAAGGAAAGAAGCCCAAGGUUCCUGUACAUUUAACCAGAACAGAGCCUCUAUGACUUGUAAGGAGAAUAAUGUGUUGUUUUUAAAGGAUACUUUGAAACCUGCCAGUCAGUUGCUUUUUAAUGGUUUUCUAUAUAAUUCUGUGAUCUAACUUUUGCCUCACAGGCCCAUCCUCCUUGCCAUACUUCUGGUUCUCUACUUGGGAGAUCACAUGACUUGGGGGGGGGUGUCAAGAGAUGGCUUGCAUGGUGAGGCAGUAGUUAGUGUGGAGGGCUUUGCUGCAUAAAGGUGAUGCAUACAUUCCACAUUCAGCCUGAGGCCGCGAGCAGGAAGCAUCUGCUCAGCAGAAAGGAGAGAGAGUCACAGAGGCACAGAGGGCUGUGCACAUUACUUUUGGAAGAAACAAUGUGUGCACAGGAUGUGCUUCUUCCAAGGAUGUUCUCAGAGUUCUCUCCUCUUUCCCUCCCCACCUUUCUGUGUCCCCCCUCUGCCUUUGGACAUUUUGCAGCUUUUUAUGAACAAGGGACCCCUUUCCCAUAUUCCAACCUCAGGUGGCUCCUUUACUCUGAUAGCAGCCGGUUGGCUCUCCGAGUGUGUGCUCUAGGAGACAUUCUUGCUUUGAUGUCAGCGGCUUUGGUGUUAAUUUGAAUGGGAGGAGAGUUCUCUGGGCACUCCUCUGCUUCAUAAUACCAGGGCAUUAGCAACAUGCACCUAGUUCCAUUUGUCCCUUUUAAAUUACAGGUUCCCUAAAAAUGUGCCUAGUCACUUCUGUUCUGACGUCCACGUAGCUCUCCA
RNAcentral lists this long non-coding RNA (807 nucleotides) under Rattus norvegicus (Norway rat). RNAcentral describes it as "long non-coding RNA NONRATT029014". The record is from RNAcentral. Lineage: Eukaryota; Metazoa; Chordata; Mammalia; Rodentia; Muridae.